Molecule: ribosomal RNA, 1492 nt
Filed under: uncultured Bordetella sp.
Lineage: Bacteria; Pseudomonadati; Pseudomonadota; Betaproteobacteria; Burkholderiales; Alcaligenaceae
Description: partial 16S-23S ribosomal RNA intergenic spacer
Rfam family: Bacterial small subunit ribosomal RNA
Source: RNAcentral
GGUUUGAUCAUGGCUCAGAUUGAACGCUGAAUGGUGGAUGCUUUACACAUGCAAGUCGAACGGCAGCACGGACUUCGGUCUGGUGGCGAGUGGCGAACGGGUGAGUAAUGUAUCGGAACGUGCCUAGUAGCGGGGGAUAACUACGCGAAAGCGUAGCUAUCACGCGCAUACGCCCUUCGGGGAAAGUGGGGACCUUCGGCCUGCAGCUUAUAGAGCGGUCGAUAUCUGAUUAGCUCAGUUGGUGGGGUAACGGCUCACCAAGGCGACGAUCCGUAGCUGGUUUGAGAGGACGACCAGCCACACUGGGACGACACGUACCAGACUCCUACGGGAGGCAGCAGUGGUAAAUUUUGACAAUGGGGAAACCUCUGAUCCAGCCAUCCUGCGUGUGAUGAAGGCCUGGGUUGUAAAGCACUUUUGGCAGGAUAAGAAACGGCACGGAUAACACCCGCAACUGACGGUACCUGCAGAAUAAGCACCGGCUAACUACGUGCCAGCAGCCGCGGUAAUACGUAGGGUGCAAGCGUUAUUAAUCGGAAUUACCGCGUAAAGCGUGCGCAGGCGGUUCGGAAAGAAAGAUGUGAAAUCCCAGAGCCAACUUGGGAACUGUAUUUAACUCACCGAGCUAGAGUGUGUCAGAGGGAGGUGAAUUCCGCGUGUAGCAGAAAUGACGAUAUGGAGGAAACACCACGUAAGCGGGCGGCGCAGCCUCUGGGAUAACACCGACGCUCAUGCACGAAAGCGUGGGGGAGCAAACAGGAUUAGAUACCCUGGUAGUCCACGCCCUAAACGAUGUCAACUAGCUAGGCCUGGCCUGGUAGCGCAGCUAACGCGCGCGUAGUUGACCGCCUGGGAGAGUACGGUCGCAAGAUUAAAAACUCAAAGGAAUUGACGGGGACCCGCACAAGCGGUGGAUGAUGUGGAUUAAUUCGAUGCAACGCGAAAACCUUACCUGUAAUUUUGACAUGUCUGGAAUCCCGAAGAGAUUUGGGAGUGCUCGCAAGAGAACGGAAACAAGAGAAAUGGCAGCUGCCGCCGCCUCGUGUCGUGAGAUGUUAGUUAGAACCUGCACAUAACUUGUCAUUAGUUGCUACGAAAGGCAAUCGCACGAGAUCGCCGCCGCGGCAAACCGGAGGAAGGUGGGGAUGACGUCAAGUCCUCAUGGCCCUUAUGGGUAGGGCUUCACAUCAAGGCCAAUGAAAUGGGACAGAGGGUCGCCAACUCCAAGGCGAGGGGGAGCCAAUCCAGAAACCCGAUCGUAACUGGAUCGCAGUCUGCAACUCUGACUGCGUGAAGUCGGAAUCGCCAGGUGCAAUCGCGGAUCAGCAUGUCGCGGUGAAUACGUUCUGGUCUUGUACACACCGCCCGUCACACCAUGGAGUGGGUUUUACCAGGCGUAGCGUUAGCUCUAACCGUGGCGAGGGCUAUCAAUAUGGAUUCAUGACUGGGUGAAGUCGUACAACAAGGUAGCUCUGCGAUAAUUGAUGCCUCC